UACGUAGGGUGCGAGCGUUAAUCGGAAUUACUGGGCGUAAAGGGUGCGCAGGCGGCGUCGCAAGUCAGGCGUGAAAUCCCCGGGCUUAACCUGGGAACUGCACUUGAAACUACGAUGCUGGAGUAUGGCAGAGGGAGGUGGAAUUCCACGUGUAGCGGUGAAAUGCGUAGAGAUGUGGAGGAACACCGAUGGCGAAGGCAGCCUCCUGGGCCAAUACUGACGCUCAUGCACGAAAGCGUGGGUAGCAAACAGG
Molecule: ribosomal RNA, 253 nt
Filed under: uncultured bacterium
Lineage: Bacteria
Description: partial 16S ribosomal RNA
Rfam family: Bacterial small subunit ribosomal RNA
Source: RNAcentral